GUGCUCGCUUCGGCAGCACAUACACUAAGAUUGGAAAGAUACAGAGAAGAUCAUCAUGGCCCUUGCGCAAGGAUGACAUCCAAAUUCAUGAAGCAUUCCAUAUUUUU
This 107-nucleotide small nuclear RNA is filed under the name Aotus nancymaae (Ma's night monkey). Lineage: Eukaryota; Metazoa; Chordata; Mammalia; Primates; Aotidae. The record is from RNAcentral.